Molecule: transfer RNA, 73 nt
Filed under: Ovis aries (sheep)
Lineage: Eukaryota; Metazoa; Chordata; Mammalia; Artiodactyla; Bovidae
Rfam family: tRNA
About the family: Transfer RNA (tRNA) molecules are approximately 80 nucleotides in length. Their secondary structure includes four short double-helical elements and three loops (D, anti-codon, and T loops).
Source: Rfam by way of RNAcentral
UCGUUGGUGGUUCAGUGGCUAAGACUCCACACUCCCAAUGCAGAGGGCCCGGGUUCAAUCCCUGGUCAGAGAA